AGUAAAAUGGCCGAAUUGUAAGCGGUGAAUUGUAAAUUCUCUCAUGAUUAAUUCUUUUACUG
This 62-nucleotide transfer RNA is filed under the name Glyptonotus cf. antarcticus FK-2009. RNAcentral describes it as "tRNA-Tyr". The record is from RNAcentral. Lineage: Eukaryota; Metazoa; Arthropoda; Malacostraca; Isopoda; Chaetiliidae.